This is a long non-coding RNA of Sinocyclocheilus grahami, 125 nucleotides long. RefSeq lists it as uncharacterized. Lineage: Eukaryota; Metazoa; Chordata; Actinopteri; Cypriniformes; Cyprinidae. The record is from RefSeq and is a predicted model, not a curated record. The transcript has 2 exons.
UGCCCAUUGAGACCAGAGGACGUGCAUUACUACAAGAUGCCUGAAAUAUGCCAAAUGGAAAUGAAGGACAAUUGCACUUUUGUAACAAAACAUGAUCUCAUAUUAAAGCUGGAACAAUUUUCUAU